CCUACGGGAGGCAGCAGUGGGGAAUAUUGGACAAUGGGCGGAAGCCUGAUCCAGCAACGCCGCGUGAGGGAUGACGGCCUUCGGGUUGUAAACCUCUUUCAGUAUUGACGAAGCGCCCGUGUGGGUGGUGACGGUAGGUACAGAAGAAGCACCGGCCAACUACGUGCCAGCAGCCGCGGUAAUACGUAGGGUGCGAGCGUUGUCCGGAAUUAUUGGGCGUAAAGGGCUCGUAGGCGGUUUGUCGCGUCGGGAGUGAAAACACUGGGCUUAACCGAGUGCUUGCUUCCGAUACGGGCAGACUUGAGGCAUUGAGGGGAGAACGGAAUUCCUGGUGUAGCGGUGAAAUGCGCAGAUAUCAGGAGGAACACCGGUGGCGAAGGCGGUUCUCUGGCAAUGUUCUGACGCUGAGGAGCGAAAGUGUGGGGAGCGAACAGGAUUAGAUAACCCUGGUAGUCCACACCGUAAACGUUGGGCGCUAGGUGUGGGGCCUAUCAUGGUCGUGCGCNGCUACGCAUAGUACGCCCGCCGUCGGAGGUACGGCCGCGAGGACGAAACGUACGAAAGAAAGUAGUACGGACGUUGUAGAGUUGCCGAACGGACGACGACGAGGGAGGAGG
This 617-nucleotide ribosomal RNA is filed under the name uncultured bacterium. RNAcentral describes it as "bacterial SSU rRNA". The stretch from base 1 to 527 matches the Rfam family "Bacterial small subunit ribosomal RNA", at positions 338 to 873 of the family's 1533-position model. The record is from RNAcentral.